CAGGGCUAAUGUCUUGUAAUUGGAAUGAUGGUGACCCAAACCCUCACCAGAGUAGCAAUUGGAGGGCAAGUCUGGUGCCAGCAGCCGCGGUAAUUCCAGCUCCAAUAGCGUAUAUUAAACUUGUUGCAGUUAAAAAGCUCGUAGUUGAAUUUUAGCGUGUUCGAGUUUGCCAUUCGUUUGGCUUUUUCGAGUUCGCUUUUGGGUUUUCCCUUUUUACUUUGAGAAAAUUAGAGUGUUUCAAGCAGACUUUUGUCUUGAAUACUUCAGCAUGGAAUAAUAGAGUAGGACUUUGGUUCUAUUUUGUUGGUUAUUGAACCUUAGUAAUGGUUAAUAGGAACGGUUGGGGGCAUUCGUAUUUAAA
This 361-nucleotide ribosomal RNA is filed under the name Babesia vogeli. Its description in RNAcentral is "SSU rRNA". It matches the Rfam family "Eukaryotic small subunit ribosomal RNA", at positions 486 to 902 of the family's 1831-position model. Lineage: Eukaryota; Apicomplexa; Aconoidasida; Piroplasmida; Babesiidae. The record is from RNAcentral.